GUGGGGAAUCUUGCGCAAUGGGCGAAAGCCUGACGCAGCCAUGCCGCGUGGAUGAUGAAGGUCUUAGGAUUGUAAAAUCCUUUCACCGGUGAAGAUAAUGACUGUAGCCGGAGAAGAAGCCCCGGCUAACUUCGUGCCAGCAGCCGCGGUAAUACGAAGGGGGCUAGCGUUGCUUGGAAUUACUGGGCGUAAAGGGAGCGUAGGCGGACAUUUAAGUCAGGGGUGAAAUCCCGAGGCUCAACCUCGGAACUGCCUUUGAUACUGGGUGUCUUGAGUGUGAGAGAGGUGAGUGGAACUCCGAGUGUAGAGGUGAAAUUCGUAGAUAUUCGGAAGAACACCAGUGGCGAAGGCGACUCACUGGCUCAUUACUGACGCUGAGGCUCGAAAGCGUGGGGAGCAAACAGGAUUAGAAACCCUUGUAGUCC
RNAcentral lists this ribosomal RNA (425 nucleotides) under uncultured bacterium. RNAcentral's name for it is "bacterial SSU rRNA". It matches the Rfam family "Bacterial small subunit ribosomal RNA", at positions 354 to 796 of the family's 1533-position model. The record is from RNAcentral.